RNAcentral lists this ribosomal RNA (399 nucleotides) under uncultured bacterium. RNAcentral's name for it is "bacterial SSU rRNA". It matches the Rfam family "Bacterial small subunit ribosomal RNA", at positions 355 to 771 of the family's 1533-position model. The record is from RNAcentral.
UGGGGAAUAUUGGACAAUGGGCGCAAGCCUGAUCCAGCCAUGCCGCGUGAGUGACGAAGGUCUUCGGAUUGUAAAGCUCUUUUGGCGGGGAAGAUAAUGACGGUACCCGCAGAAUAAGCCUCGGCUAACUUCGUGCCAGCAGCCGCGGUAAUACGAAGGGGGCUAGCGUUGUUCGGAAUCACUGGGCGUAAAGCGCACGUAGGCGGAUGUGCCAGUCAGGGGUGAAAUCCCGGAGCUCAACUUCGGAACUGCCUCUGAUACAGCACGUCUUGAGUCCGGAAGAGGUGGGUGGAAUUCCUAGUGUAGAGGUGAAAUUCGUAGAUAUUAGGAAGAACACCGGUGGCGAAGGCGGCCCACUGGUCCGGUACUGACGCUGAGGUGCGAAGGCGUGGGGAGCAA